This 73-nucleotide transfer RNA is filed under the name Camelus bactrianus (Bactrian camel). It matches the Rfam family "tRNA". From Rfam's summary of the family: Transfer RNA (tRNA) molecules are approximately 80 nucleotides in length. Their secondary structure includes four short double-helical elements and three loops (D, anti-codon, and T loops). Further hydrogen bonds mediate the characteristic L-shaped molecular structure. tRNAs have two regions of fundamental functional importance: the anti-codon, which is responsible for specific mRNA codon recognition, and the 3' end, to which the tRNAs corresponding amino acid is attached (by aminoacyl-tRNA synthetases). tRNAs cope with the degeneracy of the genetic code in two manners: having more than one tRNA (with a specific anti-codon) for a particular amino acid; and 'wobble' base-pairing, i.e. permitting non-standard base-pairing at the 3rd anti-codon position. RNAcentral also lists the same sequence under 2 other names. The record is from Rfam by way of RNAcentral. Lineage: Eukaryota; Metazoa; Chordata; Mammalia; Artiodactyla; Camelidae.
GGGGGUAUAGCUCAAGUGGUAGAGCGCAUGCCUAGCAUGCAUGAGGUCCUGGGUUCAAUCUCCAGUACCUCCU